GAUGAAUUUGGUUUUCACCAAAUGAGCUUAAAAGCUGAACUUACCUUAAAAUUUAUUCUUAUUUUUUCAGAUUGCAGUGGCUUAGGAAACAUUUCCUCUGGAUAUGUAGCUUGCAGCAAAGCCAAUUUAAAAAUCAAUUGUGUAUUUGUGUGUGUGUGUUCUCAUUAUUUCAUCAUCAAGCACUUCCUCUUUCAUCCUUAAGAAAGGGUGUCUGCUUGACCAGAUUCUGGUUUUUUUGUUUGACCUUAGGAUAAACAAGAAGUUAAUGGCCCGUUUUGAGAGUAUUUGCAAACACUUAUUGUAGGAGUUUGACUUUGUGUGUAGACAUUUUCCUUCUUGGGCUCUUGCCUUUGUUCAGUAUGCUCUCCUCCUCCUAUGUUAUUCAGAGCUGGCUGUAAUUGGUUUGCUUAGUACAACACCACAAAUUUUUCCCUUGCCAGUGAUGUCAGAUCUGCCUUCCCUUUUAUUAUUCUGACUUUUUAUAAACUGCAGUGACCUAUGAGUCAACCUCACCAUCUCUUGGCCCUGCACCAACAUUGUGAUCUAUGAAAAGGGAAUCCUGCCAAGGGCUACAGGAUAGAAAACUGAUACUCUUAAAGUGGUCUUCCGAACGGCUCCAUAGUCUGAUGGGAAAAGUCGUGUUAAUAUCUGAAGGCCAAGUUGAACAUCAAGGCUCCAAGACCCUCCACUUCACGGCUCUCUCUGGGAUGAACCUUUGUGGAGGGAGGGCCUGCUGUGGCAGAGUGCAGGGGCAGAGCUGCCAGACAAAGACAACAGGGGCUGGAGGAAACGGACCAGGCACAUGA
Molecule: long non-coding RNA, 806 nt
Filed under: Fukomys damarensis (Damara mole-rat)
Lineage: Eukaryota; Metazoa; Chordata; Mammalia; Rodentia; Bathyergidae
Description: lncRNA (ENSFDAG00000022968.1)
Source: RNAcentral